CCCGCCGCGGCCCCCGCGGCCCCCGCGGCCCCCGCGCCCCGGCCGAGAGCGAGCAGAGUUCGCCGGGGAGGAAGGCAGGCCGCCGGGCCGCCGGGCCUCCGGGCCUCCGAGACGGGAUGCUAGGGGCCGGCAGUUGGGGGUUGCUCGGAAAACGGGUGGGUUGUCUUCUGGCCUCAGAGUGUCCCUUAUCAGAGCCUCGGACCCUUGGGCCUCUUCACUCAGUACUUGGUGGACCAUCAUCACACCCUCUUGCACAGCGGGUAUUGGCUUGCCUGGCUGAUUCACGUGGGAGAGUCCUUGUACGCCAUGUUUUUGUGCAAGUCUAAAGGCAUCACGAAUGGUCGGGCUCAACUACUCUGGUUCCUACAAACUUUCCUCUUUGGAAUAGCAUCUCUCUCCAUCUUGAUUGCUUACAGACCAAAACGCCAAAAACAAACUUAAAGAAGAUAUCUAAAAGCUUUCUCUAUACUUUGACAUUCAGCUUCACCGUUUUGGGGGUGGGAGGGAUGCUGGGGGUGCUGGAGUUUACUUGAUCUUUCUACUUUCCAGAAAUUUAAGACCCUCUGGUUAUUCAUCAUUCUUUCAUACGCUCUGGUUGAGCUUGGCUAGAGAAGCGAAAAGGAUUUCAGCUUUCCAAUUCUGCAGACUCACUUUUGUGGCAGAGGGCCCCCAGCUCCCUUCUUGGGGUCUUUGGCAGUGUUGAUGCUCUUUGUGUCAUCUGGUUUAAGCUGUGUGCUAAAAUUGCUUGUUGGUAUGACUUUGCUCCCACCUUCUGACUUAAGACACCAUACCUUGACCACCCCACCUUAGCUCUCCUUUCCCCAGAUUUCGUGUACCUUUCUGAACCAGGACAGAGUAACAUUUCUACAACACAUCCAUUCCACAUACACUGGGCACCUGUGAAGCAGGAUCUUAUCUUCCCAAACUCCCAUUUUUCACACACCAAGAAAGAUAAGGUUAAGAUAAGCAAGUGCCAGGAAUGGGCCAGGCCGAGCAGUAACAUAGAGGCACAGAGGACAGGCUGAGGACCAGGAGGAAAGGAUGGGGCAAUGCCUUCCCUUAAUCCAGCCAGGAGCGAUCCUUCCCUCCACGUAGCCCCUUGGACACAGCACUCAGUGGUGUGCAGGGGUCUGAUGGCCGCUGCUAGAUGGCUCCUUCUGGUCGGGAGCACAUUUUAGCUUGAUUUCUUUUCUCAGGACCUGUCCCAUUGCCUUGUACACAGGUGUUCUAUCAGUAUUUUCUGGUCCUCUGAAUGAAAACUUUCCACUAGUUCAGUAUCAUUCCAGUUGUUACAGGAAAACUGCAGAACCCACUCAGUGUAUUCUCUUCUCAAAGGAGCACAGGCCUGCCCUUGACUGGUGGUACCACCACUCUGUGGGUCCCCCGGUAGGGAACUGGUGUCUUUUUCAUACUUGCCUAUUCUUAGUCACUUUCUUUUUCUUUUUUUUUUUUUUUAAGAUUUUAUUUGAGAGAGAGAGGCAGAGGGAGAAGCAGGCUCCAUGCAGGGAGCCUGAUAUGGGACUCGAUCCUGGGUCUCCAGGCUCAUGCCCUGGGCUGAAGCCUGCACCAAACCGCUGAGCCACCCGGGCUGCCCCUCUUAGUCACUUUCUACAGAUUGUAAUGUCUCCCUCCAGCUCCAGCUUACUCACAGACAUUCCUGAGCUAGAGAUUCUAACUGGGAGCUACUUACUACCUCUCCUACUCACCUGACUAGACCUUUUUACUACUAGUGACUGGCAAAAUGACUCUGUCACCUAAGGGCCAUAAGGGUUCCUUUUCUGGAGGACCACCUGCCUGCCACCUUCUCUAGGCACUAGACCUUAUUUCCCAUCUGUGAUGUGGUAGGGCAUGUUCUCUGCCUUAAGCAAACAUUUAUGAGAGACAGUCCCCUCCCCCCAAAAAGAGACCUCAAGUAAAACUACAAGCCUGAAAGGUUAUGGAUUAUGGGUUGUUUCUGGUGGAGAUCACUUUCUACAACUAAAUCUCCAUUUUUCCUGUUUCCUCUUGUGUUGAAGGGGUUGCCUUUUGGUAAAGAAAAAGAUUUUUAAUCGUAGAGUUAAAUAUCAUGGAAAUCCCAGACAGAUUUUUUUAAAAGCAUGGUCCUCUGGAAAGAGAAAUAGUAAUGACGGUAAUGUUAACGGUGACAGCAACAAUAUGGCAGAUUAUUGAAUGAAAUGAAUUAACUCGAAUAAAUGCUGUGAAUUGUCUCCAAA
This is an RNA transcript of Canis lupus familiaris (dog), 2213 nucleotides long. It is a transcript of the gene named transmembrane protein 254, with no coding region annotated. The transcript is spliced from 4 exons. The record is from RefSeq and is a predicted model, not a curated record. Lineage: Eukaryota; Metazoa; Chordata; Mammalia; Carnivora; Canidae.